AGGGCCUGAGCGUCUGUGCUUCUAACGAGCUUUGAGAUUCUGCUGAUGCUGCUGGACCACCUGGCAACCACCUUGCCCACAGCAUCCCCACUGCUCUGAGUCCACAGGGCUGCUUAAGGCACACAGCGCAAAUAUGGUACAGGCAGCAAGAAGCAGUGGAAAGAACCCUGAGCGUGGAAACACACCGAGCCCUGGGUCCCCCUUUAGUGAGAUGGGAGAUGUCAGAACUGGUUUCCCAGUCAGUAAAAUGGUGCUGACUUUCCUCCCAGGAGUCGUGAGAAGGAAGAGACACAGGGCAAAUGAGAGCUGUCUGUAAAUAAGAGCACUGUGGGCACGGAAGGAUUAUUACUGCCAGAAGCCACCUGGUACCUGUGAGACACCCCAGAGAAAGACGUGCUAAAGAUAAGCUUCCCAGUAAAACCCACACAAGAGCACAAGCAAACCUCUGGGAGGUCAACUCGAGACAUGAUACUGAAAGUGUGGUUUGUGGUCCAGCAGCAUGAGCAUCACCUGGGAGCCUGUUAAAAACAGAACUCAGAUCCCAGCCCAGAAGGGAAUCCGAAUCUACUGACUCAGUAUCUGCAUGUGAACAACUGCCCGAGCCGUUCAAAUGCACAGAGAGGCAGCAGACUCCCUGGUCCUGUGCUCUGGUCAGGACCUGCAUCGGUCCCCUCACUCACCCUCUGACUUCUGGGGCAUCUCCGCUUAGAUUUUGAGCUCGAGUCUGGAUCUGCUCCAGGAAGAGACUGAGCCUGAAUUAUGCCUCCUUUUCUUCCUUGAGCAAGACUGUCUUAUUGCUGAGCUGGAAAAUUAUCACCAUCAUGUUUACAGUAAUGAUUCCGAAGAAACAAGAGAUGGUGGAAUCACGUUCAGGAUAGGACGAUAAUGCAUUUCUGAAAUUUACCUUCUAAAGAGGUUUAAAUUAACAACAACAACAAUAACAACAGUGUCCUGUUGCUUCAUUUAUUUGAACUGUGACAACCCGGAAAAGUCGUCAGUAUGAAGUGACUCAUUCCCUGAGGGUUCUGAAUAAGAUUCUAAAAUCACCACCCAUGGUUUUCCUGCACUUUGAAGCGACAGAACAAAUGACAGCAGAGAUGGGUACUCGCCUCUUGAGUCCAGAGUGGCUGAUACACAAAUAUCUCGCAACAAUAACAUCCUCAUCCAAAAACAGCCUCCCUAAGGAUGUUAUUUCUGGGAUUUCUUGUGCAUUUUAAUGUUCAGAAGCAUUUGUGCACCUGUGGGCCGAGCCCCAGGACCAGAAUGGUCUGGGCUUUUUUUAUAAGGUCGGUCAACAAUUUUGUGGAUGCCCUGUCCACAUCAGGUCCUGUUCUAGGGACAUGGAGAGGAAUCCAACUCUCUGAGCUUUCAUGAAGCAAAUAUUGGGAGUUCUAAUGAAAAUGUAGAAGAGUUAUAAAGGUGUUAUCAGCGAGGAGGCUGGGGGGAAAGAGUCUGGGAAAACGCUCCUAGACAUGCCUUGUGAGAAGGGGUUUGGUCAAUAAACAGGGGUGAGUGCAGUGCAGUAGGAAGGAACACGGGCCUUGAGGUGAAAGGGCUUGUCGGGGUUCCUUUCCAUGCUGGACAACGAUUUGAUGCUAUGGAGAAAAACACAAGAUACGCAGCCCUUUAGAUCAUGUCACAAACCAUGGAUGAGUCCAUGGGACCCCGACAGAACACUCUGAUGGCCUCCAUGGGUCUGCUCUGAGCUCACUGCUUCAUGGUUACCGCACACCCAAGCCCAAUUUCCCCACCUCCUGCUUGGGUGAUCUGCCUAUUUCAUUCUCCCAUGGAAAAUGUCUACACUUCUUCCAGGGUCAGUUCUGAGGUUGCUAAUGAAACCGAGUUAGAAGGAAAGGAGUUGAUCUUUCUAGGUUUGGAACUUGAGGCUGAAGUACUUAAAGGAAAUCCAGCUGGUGGUGUCACAAAGGCGGUAGGUUUUGGCUCAGGGAAGAGAAAAUAACAUAGAUAUGAAUUUGAGAUUCAUCAGAAAUUUGAAGCAAAUGUUAACUCCCCACCUAUGUGCUUCUGUUCCGGAAUAGCUCCUUCGUCUUCUGUUGGAAUGGAUGAACCCAGCCCCUCCAUAAAUCUUAUCCCCUCCCACUGUUCAAGAACAGGGCAUGAGCAAUUCUCCUCUCUCCUGCCUUGUGAACCUUCUCCUCUCCAUUGGGCAAAUCCCAUCAGGAAUAGCAUCUUCUUAAAUCACAAAGCAAAAACAAAUAAACAAUCCUCUUGACCUG
Molecule: long non-coding RNA, 2237 nt
Filed under: Sus scrofa (pig)
Lineage: Eukaryota; Metazoa; Chordata; Mammalia; Artiodactyla; Suidae
Description: lncRNA (ENSSSCG00025063875.1)
Source: RNAcentral